RNAcentral lists this ribosomal RNA (497 nucleotides) under uncultured bacterium. RNAcentral's name for it is "partial 16S ribosomal RNA". It matches the Rfam family "Bacterial small subunit ribosomal RNA", at positions 28 to 507 of the family's 1533-position model. The record is from RNAcentral.
GAUGAACGCUGGCGGCGUGCCUAAUACAUGCAAGUCGAGCGAACAGACGAGGAGCUUGCUCCUCUGACGUUAGCGGCGGACGGGUGAGUAACACGUGGAUAACCUACCUAUAAGACUGGGAUAACUUCGGGAAACCGGAGCUAAUACCGGAUAAUAUAUUGAACCGCAUGGUUCAAUAGUGAAAGACGGGUUUGCUGUCACUUAUAGAUGGAUCCGCGCCGCAUUAGCUAGUUGGUAAGGUAACGGCUUACCAAGGCAACGCUGCGUAGCCGACCUGAGAGGGUGAUCAGCCACACUGGAACUGAGACACGGUCCAGACUCCUACGGGAGGCAGCAGUAGGGAAUCUUACGCAAUGGGAGAAAGCCUGACGGAGCACCGCCGCGUGAGUGAUGAAGGUCUUCGGAUCGUAAAACUAUGUUAUUAGGGAAGAACAAAUGUGUAAGUAACUAUGCACGUCUUGACGGUACCUAAUCAGAAAGCCACGGCUAACUACGUG